AACAAACGCUGGCGGCGUGCCUAACACAUGCAAGUCGUACGAGAAAGUUGGCUUCGGCCGAUGAGUAAAGUGGCGCACGGGUGAGUAACGCGUGGAUAAUCUACCCUUUGGUCUGGAAUAAUUUACCGAAAGGUGAACUAAUACCGGAUAAUAUCCCUGUUUCCCCGGAAAUUGGGAUCAAAGAAGGCUUCUGUUUACAUGCUUUUUGCUGAAGGAUGAGUCCGCGUACCAUUAGCUAGUUGGUAGGGUAACGGCCUACCAAGGUUAUGAUGGUUAGCUGGUCUGAGAGGAUGAUCAGCCACACUGGAACUGAGACACGGUCCAGACUCCUACGGGUGGCUG
Molecule: ribosomal RNA, 342 nt
Filed under: uncultured Pseudomonadota bacterium
Lineage: Bacteria; Pseudomonadati; Pseudomonadota
Description: bacterial SSU rRNA
Rfam family: Bacterial small subunit ribosomal RNA
Source: RNAcentral